Molecule: long non-coding RNA, 408 nt
Organism: Styela clava
Lineage: Eukaryota; Metazoa; Chordata; Ascidiacea; Stolidobranchia; Styelidae
Source: RefSeq, a predicted model, not a curated record
CUCAAAGGUGGCUGUUGGCUGUUCGAACCUGUGCAGGCGAAACGAAACCAUGCACAGCGAAGUGAUUAUAAGAAGAAUGAACAUUUUUGUGGAUCUUUAUGAUAUUCCGAGGGUCGGGUUAUUCCCAGUUUCUGAGUUUGGUAUUCAUCAAUGAAAGCAUAUCAGAAAAUUUUGAAGUUUGAAUGGGGAUGAGUUGUUGGAAAUGACGAAUCUAAGACAGCAUCUGUACAGAUUAUUACGUCAAGAAAGGCUUCACAUGUUACGUUCGCACGUUAUUUCGAAGAGGAAUGUUGGUUAUUAAAAAUCGCAGAUGGCAAAACUUUUUUAUAUUGUGGGCUGUGGCACGCGGAAGCUACUCAGACUAGGAAAGUUGUUAAACUUCGGAUUCCACAGAUUGAUUUCAGUGAG